This is a non-coding RNA of Podospora appendiculata, 117 nucleotides long. The record is from the annotation of a GenBank genome assembly. Lineage: Eukaryota; Fungi; Ascomycota; Sordariomycetes; Sordariales; Podosporaceae.
GCCCGGCUAGCUCAAUCGGUAGAGCGUGAGACUCUUACAUUCUUCGGCUUCCCCCUGCAAGGACUGGUGAGACUGGUGGACAUCUCAAGGCUGUGGGUUCGACCCCCACGUCGGGCU